UUUUUUUGGCUCUCGUUUCAUUAGUUGAAAAGCCCAUUGGAUGGAAGCGUGGGGCACUACCCCAUUGUCCUAUUUGUCCAUUCUUCUACUCAACCUACCACUCCUCCACUGCUAUUACUCCUUAACUACUCUUCUUCAUCAUUUUCUUUCCAUUCUUUCAAAAAAUUCAAACAAUUGAAAUCUGUCUGAAUUCGGAUUUGCAAAAGAAGGCCAAAUUGUACAUACUAUUGCUAUGGGUUCAUCAGUUACUCUUAUGUAAGUUACUCGAUUACUUUCUUUCUAUUUAUUCAAAUAGAAUCGAUCGAAUUUGACAAAUUUAAUUCAGUUGGGUUUGAACACAGAUUGCAUCGAUGGGCAGAGAAGUCUUUGCGAAGCACAGAGAUACGUGGUCUCUGCGCUACGCAAAGAUUGCAGUGCAGAUUAAAUGAAUUGCAAGUCUGAAUGAUAACAGUGAAUUUGUUUGUGCGAAAAUUGUCUAUUUCUUUCUUAAUUUUUCAUUCAACAAAUUGAUGCAUCGAUUAUGUUGCAGUAUUGGAUAUACUAAGCAUUUGGACAAAAAAUUGGACAUAGAUAUAAAACAUUACAGAGUCCACGAAUGCACAAAUGGAAGUCAAAUGGUUAAGCAAUUUUUGACUGCUCAAGAAGUAUGAUUUUUUUAAUGAAUUGUGCAUUUAAUCAUGUUUAUUUGAAAAGAAAUUUAAAAGAAAUCAUUCCAAUAUUUUAUUACAAUUACAAAUUUGAGUAGUUGCAGUGUUAGAAGCGUUAUACCUUGUUGCAAUUUUUUAGGUAGGUAGAUGAAGAUCUUGUGUUAGGUUGUUAUGGUAUGUAAAAGUUAUACCUUCAAUUGUGUCCGUUUCUUAAAUUUUCCUUCGUUUGAUUUCGUGUAAUUGUUUAAAAAUUAGCAGAAUUCUUUUCUUACUUGACUGUCAAACAAUUGUACUCGUCUUUUUCAUCGAGUUUUCUCUCUUCUUGGAGCAAUUUUUCUGCCUUAUGUUGUUUGCAUUGUUCUCCUUCAUGCUUCAUUUCUUAAUACAUAUACUCUUGUAUUUUUUUAUGUGGUUGAAAGAAAGUAUUGAAACUAAAAAUCAGAUUUUAAUCCCUAUCAAACAGGAGUUAAAUAGUAAUCUUAUGCCAAACUGACAUAACAUAUUUAAAAACAACCUGAGGAAUAUAUUGCUUGAAUAUGGGUUAACAUGUUUGUGUAAUGGUUGUGAUAGUUUUAGUGCCUUAAGAUCUUAUAACUCUUUCAUGUAGCCUCUAUUUUUUUGUUAGUAUUCUCAGAUUAAUUCUAAUUAUAUUGGAAGUCACUAUUCAAUUUUCUUUGUUGUUUCUUGAUUUAUUGAAGAUGCAAUAUGAUAUAUAAAUAUAUUAUUAAAGAAGAUAAUUUUUUUAAUGCUUUCCAUAGGUUAAAAAAGAUGAAGCAGCACUAUAGACAAAUCAGCAAACUGAUCAUUUGAAAUAGAAAGAAAUCCACAGAGAAAACACUCUCCAUGUAGUGCGAAAAAUGCAUAGAGUGGAGAGGUGUGCACGCACACUCUCCGUGUUGCACUGAGAGGCGCACGCGAAGAGUACCUUUCAGCUCUACCGGAAGGUGCAGAGGCGAUGCGAAAAGUGCCUCUCCGCGGUACGCGGAGAGCAGUCUCUCUGGGCUGCUUGGAGAUCCGUGCAGCUCCAAUUUUUUUCUUUUUUCUCAUUUCUUUAAGCUAAAAACCUCAACUUCCCGGUUUUUGAAGAAAUUUUAGGAUUGUCAAUUUUUGGUAAAACUUUAGUCAAAUUUGACUGAAAACGUGCCAAUGAACAAAAUUUAGCAGCUUCGCUACUGAUGUGGGGGCCAAUUUAGCAUCCUCUCCAAUGAACAGAAUUUAGCACCUUUAUUUAGGCAUUUGUUUAUUCGUUGUUUCCUUUUUAAUAAAUUUUGUUUUGGUUAUAUCUUCUUCAAUUUAAGUUGGAUUUGAAUUCUAUUUGUUAGAGAUAAUCCUUAAGAUUAGGACUCUCAAUUUUAGUCAUUAUAUUGAUUUUUUUUCAUUUUUCUUAUUAUUUUUAAAUUUUUUCGAAUUUAUUUUCGCUAUAUAAAGUAUUGUAAUUAUCGUCAGAAAUUAAUUUUUUUAGGAUCAUACGAUUUUUUACUUGUCAUUAUGAUGCUUACAAUGCUUUGAUUACAAUGGCAAUGAGAGAACAGUAGCCAUUGGCUCUAAAAUUCCUCUCCUUAUGGUCAAGAGGUAGAUUGAGGCUUAACUAUUUUUUAUCUUGUUUUGAACACAUUAUUGUUAUUUUAUGAGUUAAAAAUUUUGAUGGAGGACUCAUCAAUGAUAUUUGUUCUNNNNNNNNNNNNNNNNNNNNNNNNNNNNNNNNNNNNNNNNNNNNNNNNNNNNNNNNNNNNNNNNNNNNNNNNNNAAAUUAAUUUUUUUAGGAUCAUACGAUUUUUUACUUGUCAUUAUGAUGCUUACAAUGCUUUGAUUACAAUGGCAAUGAGAGAACAGUAGCCAUUGGCUCUAAAAUUCCUCUCCUUAUGGUCAAGAGGUAGAUUGAGGCUUAACUAUUUUUUAUCUUGUUUUGAACACAUUAUUGUUAUUUUAUGAGUUAAAAAUUUUGAUGGAGGACUCAUCAAUGAUAUUUGUUCUAGGUUAAGUUAACAUUGUUUUCCGUGUAAAUCUUUUGAUGAAAAUUUGCAUUUUGAUGACAAAUCUUAGUUGACAAGCAUGCUCUUGUUAUUCCACCAUUCAUGGGUCGGGGAAAGCGAAUCCAUCCUAUACCAUUUUUUGAUUCCUCCAUGACUGGUAAUUUCUUUGAGAAUUACUAGAGCAGUUCCCUAAUUAAUUUGUUAGGAUUGAAUAGAAGGUUAAUUAAACUACUGAUAUGGCAGUUCAAAGAUUUAGCUGUGUAUGGGUAUGGUACCGUUGCCUAGAAGGAAAGAAUGGAAGAAUGGAAGAAAAAGCAGAAUGAUAAACUUCAAGUAGUGAAGCAUCAAGGAGAGAAAGAUGGAAACAAUGGUGAAGAUGAGAUGGAGGAUCCUGAGUUACCCAAGAAGGCCCAUCUAUUUUGUUUCUUUUAUCAUAUGUUGCUUUACAGGAUCUAACUUUAGUGUUUUAUUUAUAAAUUGUUUUUAUGUUCUGAGUUUUGGUCCAUUAGAUUGCAUUAGCUUUCCCUUGGGCU
Molecule: long non-coding RNA, 3153 nt
Filed under: Olea europaea subsp. europaea
Lineage: Eukaryota; Viridiplantae; Streptophyta; Magnoliopsida; Lamiales; Oleaceae
Source: RNAcentral